UUAAGCGACUAAGCGUACACGGUGGAUGCCCUGGCAGUCAGAGGCGAUGAAGGACGUGCUAAUCUGCGAUAAGCGUCGGUAAGGUGAUAUGAACCGUUAUAACCGGCGAUUUCCGAAUGGGGAAACCCAGUGUGUUUCGACACACUAUCAUUAACUGAAUCCAUAGGUUAAUGAGGCGAACCGGGGGAACUGAAACAUCUAAGUACCCCGAGGAAAAGAAAUCAACCGAGAUUCCCCCAGUAGCGGCGAGCGAACGGGGAGGAGCCCAGAGCCUGAAUCAGUGUGUGUGUUAGUGGAAGCGUCUGGAAAGGCGUGCGAUACAGGGUGACAGCCCCGUACACAAAAAUGCACAUACUGUGAGCUCGAUGAGUAGGGCGGGACACGUGGUAUCCUGUCUGAAUAUGGGGGGACCAUCCUCCAAGGCUAAAUACUCCUGACUGACCGAUAGUGAACCAGUACCGUGAGGGAAAGGCGAAAAGAACCCCGGCGAGGGGAGUGAAAAAGAACCUGAAACCGUGUACGUACAAGCAGUGGGAGCCUCUUAAUGGGGUGACUGCGUACCUUUUGUAUAAUGGGUCAGCGACUUAUAUUCUGUAGCAAGGUUAACCGAAUAGGGGAGCCGAAGGGAAACCGAGUCUUAACUGGGCGUUAAGUUGCAGGGUAUAGACCCGAAACCCGGUGAUCUAGCCAUGGGCAGGUUGAAGGUUGGGUAACACUAACUGGAGGACCGAACCGACUAAUGUUGAAAAAUUAGCGGAUGACUUGUGGCUGGGGGUGAAAGGCCAAUCAAACCGGGAGAUAGCUGGUUCUCCCCGAAAGCUAUUUAGGUAGCGCCUCGUGAAUUCAUCUCCGGGGGUAGAGCACUGUUUCGGCAAGGGGGUCAUCCCGACUUACCAACCCGAUGCAAACUGCGAAUACCGGAGAAUGUUAUCACGGGAGACACACGGCGGGUGCUAACGUCCGUCGUGAAGAGGGAAACAACCCAGACCGCCAGCUAAGGUCCCAAAGUCAUGGUUAAGUGGGAAACGAUGUGGGAAGGCCCAGACAGCCAGGAUGUUGGCUUAGAAGCAGCCAUCAUUUAAAGAAAGCGUAAUAGCUCACUGGUCGAGUCGGCCUGCGCGGAAGAUGUAACGGGGCUAAACCAUGCACCGAAGCUGCGGCAGCGACACUAUGUGUUGUUGGGUAGGGGAGCGUUCUGUAAGCCUGUGAAGGUGUACUGUGAGGUAUGCUGGAGGUAUCAGAAGUGCGAAUGCUGACAUAAGUAACGAUAAAGCGGGUGAAAAGCCCGCUCGCCGGAAGACCAAGGGUUCCUGUCCAACGUUAAUCGGGGCAGGGUGAGUCGACCCCUAAGGCGAGGCCGAAAGGCGUAGUCGAUGGGAAACAGGUUAAUAUUCCUGUACUUGGUGUUACUGCGAAGGGGGGACGGAGAAGGCUAUGUUGGCCGGGCGACGGUUGUCCCGGUUUAAGCGUGUAGGCUGGUUUUCCAGGCAAAUCCGGAAAAUCAAGGCUGAGGCGUGAUGACGAGGCACUACGGUGCUGAAGCAACAAAUGCCCUGCUUCCAGGAAAAGCCUCUAAGCAUCAGGUAACAUCAAAUCGUACCCCAAACCGACACAGGUGGUCAGGUAGAGAAUACCAAGGCGCUUGAGAGAACUCGGGUGAAGGAACUAGGCAAAAUGGUGCCGUAACUUCGGGAGAAGGCACGCUGAUAUGUAGGUGAAGUCCCUCGCGGAUGGAGCUGAAAUCAGUCGAAGAUACCAGCUGGCUGCAACUGUUUAUUAAAAACACAGCACUGUGCAAACACGAAAGUGGACGUAUACGGUGUGACGCCUGCCCGGUGCCGGAAGGUUAAUUGAUGGGGUUAGCGGUAACGCGAAGCUCUUGAUCGAAGCCCCGGUAAACGGCGGCCGUAACUAUAACGGUCCUAAGGUAGCGAAAUUCCUUGUCGGGUAAGUUCCGACCUGCACGAAUGGCGUAAUGAUGGCCAGGCUGUCUCCACCCGAGACUCAGUGAAAUUGAACUCGCUGUGAAGAUGCAGUGUACCCGCGGCAAGACGGAAAGACCCCGUGAACCUUUACUAUAGCUUGACACUGAACAUUGAGCCUUGAUGUGUAGGAUAGGUGGGAGGCUUUGAAGUGUGGACGCCAGUCUGCAUGGAGCCGGCCUUGAAAUACCACCCUUUAAUGUUUGAUGUUCUAACGUUGGCCCCUGAUCGGGGUUGCGGACAGUGUCUGGUGGGUAGUUUGACUGGGGCGGUCUCCUCCUAAAGAGUAACGGAGGAGCACGAAGGUUGGCUAAUCCUGGUCGGACAUCAGGAGGUUAGUGCAAUGGCAUAAGCCAGCUUGACUGCGAGCGUGACGGCGCGAGCAGGUGCGAAAGCAGGUCAUAGUGAUCCGGUGGUUCUGAAUGGAAGGGCCAUCGCUCAACGGAUAAAAGGUACUCCGGGGAUAACAGGCUGAUACCGCCCAAGAGUUCAUAUCGACGGCGGUGUUUGGCACCUCGAUGUCGGCUCAUCACAUCCUGGGGCUGAAGUAGGUCCCAAGGGUAUGGCUGUUCGCCAUUUAAAGUGGUACGCGAGCUGGGUUUAGAACGUCGUGAGACAGUUCGGUCCCUAUCUGCCGUGGGCGCUGGAGAACUGAGGGGGGCUGCUCCUAGUACGAGAGGACCGGAGUGGACGCAUCACUGGUGUUCGGGUUGUCAUGCCAAUGGCACUGCCCGGUAGCUAAAUGCGGAAGAGAUAAGUGCUGAAAGCAUCUAAGCACGAAACUUGCCCCGAGAUGAGUUCUCCCUGACUCCUUGAGAGUCCUGAAGGAACGUUGAAGACGACGACGUUGAUAGGCCGGGUGUGUAAGCGCAGCGAUGCGUUGAGCUAACCGGUACUAAUGAACCGUGAGGCUUAACCU
RNAcentral lists this ribosomal RNA (2901 nucleotides) under Escherichia coli. RNAcentral's name for it is "bacterial LSU rRNA". It matches the Rfam family "Bacterial large subunit ribosomal RNA". Lineage: Bacteria; Pseudomonadati; Pseudomonadota; Gammaproteobacteria; Enterobacterales; Enterobacteriaceae. The record is from RNAcentral.